RNAcentral lists this ribosomal RNA (579 nucleotides) under Bacillus cereus. RNAcentral's name for it is "bacterial SSU rRNA". It matches the Rfam family "Bacterial small subunit ribosomal RNA", at positions 546 to 1125 of the family's 1533-position model. The record is from RNAcentral. Lineage: Bacteria; Bacillati; Bacillota; Bacilli; Caryophanales; Bacillaceae.
CGGAUAUUGGGCGUAAGCGCGCGCAGGUGGUUUCUUAAGUCUGAUGUGAAAGCCCACGGCUCAACCGGGGAGGGGCAUUGGAAACUGGGAGACUUGAGUGCGGAAGAGGAAGGUGGAAUUCCCUGUGUAGCGGUGAAAUGCGUAGAGAUAUGGAGGAACACCAGUGGCGAAGGCGACUUUCUGGUCUGUAACUGACACUGAGGCGCGAAAGCGUGGGGAGCAAACAGGAUUAGAUACCCUGGUAGUCCACGCCGUAAACGAUGACUGCUAACUGUUGGAGAGGCUUCCGCCCUUUAGUGCUGAACUUAACGCAUUAAGCUCUCCGCCUGGGGAGUACGGCCGCAAGGCUGAAACUCAAAGGAAUUGACGGGGGCCCGCACAAGCGGGGGAGCAGGUGGUUUAAUUCAAAGCACCGCGAAAAACCUUACCAGGUCUUGACAUCCUCGGACUUCCCUAAAGAUAGAGGUUCUCCUUCGGGAGCAUAGUGACAGGUGCUGCAUGGUUGUCGUCAGCUCGUGUCGUGAGAUGUUGGGUUAAGUCCCGCAACGAGCGCAACCCUUGAUCUUAGUUGCCAUCAUU